RNAcentral lists this ribosomal RNA (253 nucleotides) under uncultured bacterium. RNAcentral's name for it is "partial 16S ribosomal RNA". It matches the Rfam family "Bacterial small subunit ribosomal RNA", at positions 524 to 776 of the family's 1533-position model. The record is from RNAcentral.
UACAGAGGGUGCGAGCGUUAAUCGGAAUUACUGGGCGUAAAGCGUGCGUAGGUGGUUCGUUAAGUCUGUCGUGAAAGCCCCGGGCUCAACCUGGGAAUGGCGAUGGAUACUGGCGGGCUAGAGUGCGGUAGAGGGUGGUGGAACUCCCGGUGUAGCAGUGAAAUGCGUAGAGAUCGGGAGGAACAUCAGUUGCGAAGGCGGCCACCUGGACCAGCACUGACACUGAGGCACGAAAGCGUGGGGAGCAAACAGG